ACCUACCCUUGACAUGUACGGAAGUCCGCCGAGAGGUGGAUGUGCCCGAAAGGGAGCCGUAACACAGGUGCUGCAUGGCUGUCGUCAGCUCGUGUCGUGAGAUGUUGGGUUAAGUCCCGCAACGAGCGCAACCCUUGUCCCUAGUUGCUACGCAAGAGCACUCCAGGGAGACUGCCGGUGACAAACCGGAGGAAGGUGGGGAUGACGUCAAGUCCUCAUGGCCCUUAUGGGUAGGGCUUCACACGUCAUACAAUGGUCGGUACAGAGGGUUGCCAAGCCGCGAGGUGGAGCCAAUCCCAGAACCCCCUCUUAGUCCGGAUCGCAGUCUGCAACUCGACUGCGUGAAGCUGGAAUCGCUAGUAAUCGCGGA
Molecule: ribosomal RNA, 370 nt
Filed under: Burkholderia sp. 162R
Lineage: Bacteria; Pseudomonadati; Pseudomonadota; Betaproteobacteria; Burkholderiales; Burkholderiaceae
Description: bacterial SSU rRNA
Rfam family: Bacterial small subunit ribosomal RNA
Source: RNAcentral